CAAAAUGUAGCUUAAUAUUAAAGCAUCCGGCCUACACCCGGAAGACUUCACAUCAAUGUGACCAUUUUGA
RNAcentral lists this transfer RNA (70 nucleotides) under Indri indri. RNAcentral describes it as "tRNA-Val". It matches the Rfam family "tRNA". From Rfam's summary of the family: Transfer RNA (tRNA) molecules are approximately 80 nucleotides in length. Their secondary structure includes four short double-helical elements and three loops (D, anti-codon, and T loops). Further hydrogen bonds mediate the characteristic L-shaped molecular structure. tRNAs have two regions of fundamental functional importance: the anti-codon, which is responsible for specific mRNA codon recognition, and the 3' end, to which the tRNAs corresponding amino acid is attached (by aminoacyl-tRNA synthetases). tRNAs cope with the degeneracy of the genetic code in two manners: having more than one tRNA (with a specific anti-codon) for a particular amino acid; and 'wobble' base-pairing, i.e. permitting non-standard base-pairing at the 3rd anti-codon position. The record is from RNAcentral. Lineage: Eukaryota; Metazoa; Chordata; Mammalia; Primates; Indriidae.